Molecule: ribosomal RNA, 429 nt
Filed under: uncultured bacterium
Lineage: Bacteria
Also listed under: 1 other name
Description: partial 16S ribosomal RNA
Rfam family: Bacterial small subunit ribosomal RNA
Source: RNAcentral
UGGGGAAUAUUGGACAAUGGGCGAAAGCCUGAUCCAGCCAUGCCGCGUGUGUGAAGAAGGUCUUCGGAUUGUAAAGCACUUUAAGUUGGGAGGAAGGGCAUUAACCUAAUACGUUAGUGUUUUGACGUUACCGACAGAAUAAGCACCGGCUAACUCUGUGCCAGCAGCCGCGGUAAUACAGAGGGUGCAAGCGUUAAUCGGAAUUACUGGGCGUAAAGCGCGCGUAGGUGGUUUGUUAAGUUGGAUGUGAAAGCCCCGGGCUCAACCUGGGAACUGCAUCCAAAACUGGCAAGCUAGAGUACGGUAGAGGGUGGUGGAAUUUCCUGUGUAGCGGUGAAAUGCGUAGAUAUAGGAAGGAACACCAGUGGCGAAGGCGACCACCUGGACUGAUACUGACACUGAGGUGCGAAAGCGUGGGGAGCAAACAGG